RNAcentral lists this ribosomal RNA (460 nucleotides) under uncultured bacterium. RNAcentral's name for it is "bacterial SSU rRNA". It matches the Rfam family "Bacterial small subunit ribosomal RNA", at positions 29 to 533 of the family's 1533-position model. The record is from RNAcentral.
AACGAACGCUGGCGGCAGGCCUAACACAUGCAAGUCGAGCGAACCCUUCGGGGUUAGCGGCGGACGGGUUAGUAACGCGUGGGAAUAUACCCUUUGGUACGGAAUAGCCUCGGGAAACUGAGAGUAAGACCGUAUGUGCCCUUCGGGGAAAGGAUUAUCGCCAAAGGAUUAGCCCGCGUUGGAUUAGAUAGUUGGUGGGGUAAGUGGCCUACCAAGUCUACGAUCCAUAGCUGGUUUGAGAGGAUGAUCAGCAACACUGGGACUGAGACACGGCCCAGACUCCUACGGGAGGCAGCAGUGGGGAAUCUUAGACAAUGGGCGCAAGCCUGAUCUAGCCAUGCCGCGUGGACGAUGAAGGGCCUUAGGGUUGUAAAGUCCUUUCAGAUGGGAAGAUAAUGACGGUACCAUCAGAAGAAGCCCCGGCUAACUCCGUGCCAGCAGCCGCGGUAAUGUACAGUGU